This 750-nucleotide ribosomal RNA is filed under the name Bacillus sp. Y408_2. RNAcentral describes it as "bacterial SSU rRNA". It matches the Rfam family "Bacterial small subunit ribosomal RNA", at positions 62 to 795 of the family's 1533-position model. Lineage: Bacteria; Bacillati; Bacillota; Bacilli; Caryophanales; Bacillaceae. The record is from RNAcentral.
UCGAGCGGACAGAAGGGAGCUUGCUCCCGGAUGUUAGCGGCGGACGGGUGAGUAACACGUGGGUAACCUGCCUGUAAGACUGGGAUAACUCCGGGAAACCGGAGCUAAUACCGGAUAGUUCCUUGAACCGCAUGGUUCAAGGAUGAAAGACGGUUUCGGCUGUCACUUACAGAUGGACCCGCGGCGCAUUAGCUAGUUGGUGAGGUAACGGCUCACCAAGGCGACGAUGCGUAGCCGACCUGAGAGGGUGAUCGGCCACACUGGGACUGAGACACGGCCCAGACUCCUACGGGAGGCAGCAGUAGGGAAUCUUCCGCAAUGGACGAAAGUCUGACGGAGCAACGCCGCGUGAGUGAUGAAGGUUUUCGGAUCGUAAAGCUCUGUUGUUAGGGAAGAACAAGUGCAAGAGUAACUGCUUGCACCUUGACGGUACCUAACCAGAAAGCCACGGCUAACUACGUGCCAGCAGCCGCGGUAAUACGUAGGUGGCAAGCGUUGUCCGGAAUUAUUGGGCGUAAAGGGCUCGCAGGCGGUUUCUUAAGUCUGAUGUGAAAGCCCCCGGCUCAACCGGGGAGGGUCAUUGGAAACUGGGAAACUUGAGUGCAGAAGAGGAGAGUGGAAUUCCACGUGUAGCGGUGAAAUGCGUAGAGAUGUGGAGGAACACCAGUGGCGAAGGCGACUCUCUGGUCUGUAACUGACGCUGAGGAGCGAAAGCGUGGGGAGCGAACAGGAUUAGAUACCCUGGUAGUC